UACACGUAUUGGAACACCCCUCCACCAGCCUGUUCUUAUCCCUUUUUCUCCUCUCUUUCUCUCUCGGCCUUAGGAGCAGAGUAGUGAAGAAAAGGCUUGAGGAGUUGAGGAAGUUCUGGCAGCUUGGAGGGCUGCGGAUUGAGGAGAAGAAAAGAAGCUGAUCCAAGUAAGAAAUCAGCUGAGGAAUUUCAGCUAGUAGCUGAAUAAACAAAGAAGAAGUGGGGCAGCUUUGUAGCUUGCGGGUUCAAGUGGAGAAGUUGAUCCGAGCUGAGGAAGGUUGAUGAAAUUGAUGCGUUGAGGGAUCUCCUUGCUGGUCCGAACUGAAAGGGAUUUCCUAGCAAGGAAUUCCUGCUGUUGGAGUUGCUGAACAACUUGGCUAGAGCAUCCAAAUUAAGAUUUGGAGCUGAAAUGAUUAGAGCUAUUGAGUAGUAAGUGCAGCUGAGAAGAAAACCUUGAAGAAGUUCGAAUUCUGGAAUAGUGAUUAAUUGAGAGUUGAUCUUGGACUGCAGCAGAGGGACCAAGUGGAAGCUUUAGCUGAGACUACUUAGAAAUUGAAGUAAUUACCUUGGAAGAAGAAUUGAUAAAGAACUUGUUGCUGCCAUGAUUGAAAACUUAGUGAAGCUGUAGUGACUUCAGGAAUUCCAGGCAGCCAGAUUAAAGGAGUUAAGUAAAGCUUUAAUUGAGUCGGCGACGCGCUAAUUACGGUAAAGGCCGUUCUAGUUCUAUUUGCACCGAGUCGCGCGAGAUUGUUCUUGACACAAUUUGAGACGUGGAUUCUAGUUGUUGACACCACUACAGGUUCCAGUGCGAACGUUAUGGCCGAGGAUCGAGGCAAGAGCCCUACAGCCUAGCUAGCAGACACCCGUGUUUAGUGGUAUACCAUUUUGAGUUCAUGUGAGACAUUUUGAUGUACAGAGACAUGUAAAUGAAUGUAUUAUAAAGCAUGUAAAUAACUAAAUGUUUCAGUUAUUUAGUUAUGUAAAGUUCAGUUUAACAGUUUUAAAUUACAGUUAAUUUUCAGUA
Molecule: long non-coding RNA, 1023 nt
Organism: Ananas comosus (pineapple)
Lineage: Eukaryota; Viridiplantae; Streptophyta; Magnoliopsida; Poales; Bromeliaceae
Exons: 6
Source: RefSeq, a predicted model, not a curated record